Molecule: ribosomal RNA, 624 nt
Filed under: Triticum aestivum (bread wheat)
Lineage: Eukaryota; Viridiplantae; Streptophyta; Magnoliopsida; Poales; Poaceae
Description: partial small subunit ribosomal RNA
Source: RNAcentral
AUGAAUUCUUUGAAUACCCAUGAUUCUAAUGAUAUGCAAAGCCACAAGCAUGGGGAUGCUAUGUUUGAUGAAGAUGAUAUGUUUAGUCCCCCAAGUUUUGAUGAGCAAAUUUACUAUGAUGAAAGCAUGCCUCCUAUUUAUGAUGAUUAUUGUGAUGACACGUAUGCUAUAAAGAAUAAAGAUAACCAUGAAACUUGUCAUCAUCAUUUUAAUUUUCAAUUGGAUUAUUCUUCACAUGAUACUUAUUUUGUUGAGUUUGAUCCCACUACUAUUGAUGAGAAUAAAUUUGCGUAUAUGGAGAGUAGUAAAUUUUUUAUGCAAGUAGAUCAUGAAAAUAAUGCUCUAGGUGCUGGUUAUAUGGUUGAAUUCAUUCGUGCUGCUACUGAAAAUUAUUAUGAGAGAGGAUCAUAUGCUUCUACAUAUUGCAAUAAUAUCAAGUUUCCUCUCUAUGUGUUGAAAAUCUUGAAGAUUUGCUUGUUUUGCCUUCCUAUGCUAGUUGAUUAUUGUUCCCAUAAAUUAUUUGCUCACAAAAUCUCUAUGAAUAUGAAGUGGGUUAGACUUAAAUGUGCUAGUCAUAUUCUUCGUGAUGCUCUCUUUAUGCUUCAAUUCUUAUCUUUUAUGUGA